UUUCCGUAGGUGAACCUGCGGAAGGAUCAUUACUGAGUGAGGGCCCCUCGGGGUCCAACCUCCCACCCGUGUUUAACGAACCUUGUUGCUUCGGCGGCCCGCCUCACGGCCGCCGGGGGGCAUCCGCCCCCGGGCCCGCGCCCGCCGAAGCCACCUGUGAACGCUGUCUGAAGUAUGCAGUCUGAGACAAUUAUUAAAUUAAUUAAAACUUUCAACAACGGAUCUCUUGGUUCCG
Molecule: unclassified non-coding RNA, 235 nt
Filed under: plant metagenome
Description: partial contains small subunit ribosomal RNA, internal transcribed spacer 1, and 5.8S ribosomal RNA
Source: RNAcentral